GGUCCCCCGGCUGGGUGCAUGCCUGGCCCCUGGCCCCUCAGGGUGGACUUCCACUGAGUGCCAGGCUCAGAUCCAGGCACCUUUGAUGGCUCCCCAUGGCUGUUGGAUCACUUUUUGGCCCAGCUGGGCAAUUACAUGUCCUUUUGCUUUGAGCACUAUCAGGACAACCUCAACCACGUCUGUGAGGUCCUUGGACGCCUGACAGGCCGAGCCUGGGCAUGGGCACCUCCCUACCUCGAUGGGGACCUGCCCCUGCCUGAUGAUUACAAGCUCUUCUGCCAGGAUCUUAAGGAAGUUACUCAAGAUCCAAACAGUUUUGCUGAGUACCAUGCUGCAGUGCCCUACGCCUUGCCCCCAGCCUCCAGCCAGCCACCAGUGGACCUGCAGCUGCCUGUGGUGAGGCAAUGCUUAGCUCAGUUCUCAGAGGCUCUGGCUCUCAACAUGGGCCCUGCCUCAGGCCUGUUGCAGCUGUUCUGGCCAGCCCUGCUGUUUCUAGGUCAAACUCUACAUCCAGAAAUGCUCUGCCCAAGUAUCAGCUGGCCAAGGAGAGCACCCCUACACCAGAGGGGGCCCCUGCCCUGUCCAGUUCUGCGUGUACCUCUGAUCCUGGUCCAGUGGGGCCAGCCACCUCCUGUGCUUGCACUUUCAGAAUCUGCUAACUUGGCUUCCAAGAAACUGGAACCAGCUCGCCGGGGGUCCAGAAUCCCAGAAAGCAGAGGAGGAGGUUUCUGAGACAGAGAGAGACCAGGAGGUGUCCUUGGCUACCCCACAGAGGGUGGUGGACACCCUGGGGACCCCAGGAGACCAAUAGGUUUCUCCUGUUCCCUACCCUGCAUCCCUGGGUUCUGAACACAGCCCAGGCAGGUACAGCUGCGCCCCUCAUGAUGAAGUGGUCUGUGUAGCUAGGGAGCCCCAACGCCCCCAUUCAGGACAGAGGAGCAUCCCCAGUAACUCCAGAUGACCCCACAGCUGGCAAGGAGACUUCGGGUCUACUUGUAAGAGCAGCCUUGUGGUAAGAGGGAAGGGUCUGCUGUGGACAUCAAGAGCCCGUGAUGAGUAGAGCCCCCCUGCCAACUGCAAUGGACCUGUAACAUGAGCAAGAAAUACAUUUUUAAUGUGUGAGGCCACUGAGUUUUGGGGGCUUGUGUUUUCCACAGUUUAACCUAUUACAUCCUGACUGGCAGGGGAUCCCAUUUCACCUCUUUUCAUAGGGCACGUCCCUGCCCCAGCAUCGGCUCCUGGGUGCUGUCCUGGCCACCGCGACCCACGGAGCUGUCCCUAUUGUGCCCACCUGGCACUCUGGUCUGAUCUAUCUUCUAGUUAUUCUAGAUUUGUAAUAAAAUCUUGAUUUUCUGGUAAA
Molecule: long non-coding RNA, 1360 nt
Organism: Galeopterus variegatus (Sunda flying lemur)
Lineage: Eukaryota; Metazoa; Chordata; Mammalia; Dermoptera; Cynocephalidae
Exons: 2
Source: RefSeq, a predicted model, not a curated record